CACCCUUGAAAGAGUGCGUAAUAGCUCACUGGUCUAGUGAUUCCGCGCCGACAAUGUAGCGGGGCUCAAGCGUACCGCCGAAGUCGUGUCAUUGCAGCAUGAGGGCCAACGCCCGCUGUGAUGGGUAGGGGAGCGUCGUGUGCCGGGUGAAGCAGCCGUGGAAGCGAGUUGUGGACGGUUCACGAGUGAGAAUGCAGGCAUGAGUAGCGAUUC
Molecule: ribosomal RNA, 213 nt
Filed under: Streptomyces albidoflavus
Lineage: Bacteria; Bacillati; Actinomycetota; Actinomycetes; Kitasatosporales; Streptomycetaceae
Description: partial 23S ribosomal RNA
Rfam family: Bacterial large subunit ribosomal RNA
Source: RNAcentral